Molecule: ribosomal RNA, 253 nt
Filed under: uncultured bacterium
Lineage: Bacteria
Description: partial 16S ribosomal RNA
Rfam family: Bacterial small subunit ribosomal RNA
Source: RNAcentral
UACGGGGGGGGCAAGCGUUGUUCGGAAUUACUGGGCGUAAAGCGCACGUAGGCGGCUUGGUAUGUCGGGUGUGAAAUCCCCGGGCUCAACCUGGGAACUGCAUCCGAAACUGCCUUGCUCGAGUAUGGGAGAGGGAAGUGGAAUUUCCGGUGUAGCGGUGAAAUGCGUAGAUAUCGGAAGGAACAUCAGUGGCGAAGGCGACUUCCUGGACCAAUACUGACGCUCAGGCGCGAAAGCGUGGGGAGCAAACAGG